Phacochoerus africanus (Common warthog) is the source of this 602-nucleotide long non-coding RNA. RefSeq lists it as uncharacterized. NCBI's taxonomy places the organism in Eukaryota, Metazoa, Chordata, Mammalia, Artiodactyla, Suidae. The record is from RefSeq and is a predicted model, not a curated record. The transcript has 3 exons.
GGAAUGCCUUUAGCUCUAGCUAUUGCAAGCUUUUAAGAACUUAUUGGAACACAAAUGCUCAUUUCAAGGAAACAGAUAACAGUUGCAAAUGGAUUAAACAUAAUCCCUGUACUGGAGCCCUUGAAGGAAAAGAGAUGGGGGUUUCUGGGUUGUGAGAUGAAGCUUGGUCAAGGAUGCUUGCUUUGAGGACUCUGCUCUGAAAACCCAGGAAGGAGAAGACUCGGGAUUCAAAAUCAUGCAGCCUAGUGCAGAGCCAGCACCCUGACCCUCCCUGUGAGAGCUCUUCAAGGAAGCCUUCAGUGGGUUCCCUAUGGUCUAAUGUUUCAUGAAGCUUCUAUAGUCCAGGCUCCAAUCCUGAGAACCCUGAUGUGAAAAACCCUGGAAUGAUCAAAGAGGGAAAGGUGUGUGAAGACCAUCAGAAGUUACAGAACAAACAGUAACAUUUGUGUUCACUCAAAUCUGAAGUAAGAGAGUUGUAAAUUCCUUGUGUGGACAAGGAAGAGUGGCUGUAUCAUACCAAAAAAUUUUUAAAAACAAAUGUAUUUUUUGUUCAAAAAUGUUCUUCCAUUUAUCUGAAAACUGAAACACAUGCUUUUCCAAUA